Molecule: transfer RNA, 88 nt
Filed under: Deltaproteobacteria bacterium
Lineage: Bacteria; Pseudomonadati; Myxococcota; Myxococcia
Also listed under: 1 other name
Description: tRNA-Ser
Rfam family: tRNA
About the family: Transfer RNA (tRNA) molecules are approximately 80 nucleotides in length. Their secondary structure includes four short double-helical elements and three loops (D, anti-codon, and T loops). Further hydrogen bonds mediate the characteristic L-shaped molecular structure. tRNAs have two regions of fundamental functional importance: the anti-codon, which is responsible for specific mRNA codon recognition, and the 3' end, to which the tRNAs corresponding amino acid is attached (by aminoacyl-tRNA synthetases). tRNAs cope with the degeneracy of the genetic code in two manners: having more than one tRNA (with a specific anti-codon) for a particular amino acid; and 'wobble' base-pairing, i.e. permitting non-standard base-pairing at the 3rd anti-codon position.
Source: RNAcentral
GGAGAGAUGCCCGAGUGGUCGAAGGGGCACGCCUGGAGAGCGUGUGUGGCGCAAGCCACCGUGGGUUCGAAUCCCACUCUCUCCGCCA